Schistocerca piceifrons (Central American locust) is the source of this 254-nucleotide long non-coding RNA. RefSeq lists it as uncharacterized. The transcript has 3 exons. Lineage: Eukaryota; Metazoa; Arthropoda; Insecta; Orthoptera; Acrididae. The record is from RefSeq and is a predicted model, not a curated record.
AGAGUCAGUACAUUCCAUUUCCCUCGUGAUGAAGAUGCAUGGAGAUAAUGGAUAAGAGCAGUUCACCGUGAUAAUUUCAUCCCUUCAGAUCACUCUGUGAUUUGUGAGCUGCAUUUCCAUGCACACGAAAUAGAAAGAAGUACAUCGUCAUAUGAUGCUAAGACUGGAAGAUUAAUUACACGCCUCUUGAUCGUCCACGUUUAAGGAAAGGUGCAAUACCAGCACUAUUGCCAGCAUGUCCUGAUUAUUUAUCU